GACGAACGCUGGCGGCGUGCUUAAUACAUGCAAGUCGACCGAAGCAGUGGUAGCAAUAUCGCUGUGGAGGUGGCGCACGGGGGAGGAACACGUAGGUAAUCUGCUUUCAGGUCUGGCAUAACUCCGUGAAACCGGGGCAAAUAGCAGAUGAUGAAGCGGCGAGACAUCGAGACCAUUGUUAAAGCUAUGGCGUCUGAAGAUGAGCCUUCGUCUGCUUAGCUAGUUGGCGGGGUAGCGGCCCACCAAUGCAACGAUCAGUCGCUGGUCUGAGAGGAUGAUCAGCCACACUGGAACUGAGACACGGUCCAGACUCCUACGGGGGGCAGCAGUAUGCACUAUUGCUCAAUGGGUGAAAGCCUGAAGCAGCGUCGCCGCGUGAGGUACGAAGGUCUUUUGCUUGUAAACCUCUGUAGUGAGAGAAAAAAAUCCCAAUCUGUGGGACAUGAUGGUAUCUCAAAAGUAAGCCCCGGCUAACUACGUG
Molecule: ribosomal RNA, 481 nt
Filed under: uncultured bacterium
Lineage: Bacteria
Description: partial 16S ribosomal RNA
Rfam family: Bacterial small subunit ribosomal RNA
Source: RNAcentral